Molecule: ribosomal RNA, 496 nt
Filed under: uncultured bacterium
Lineage: Bacteria
Description: partial 16S ribosomal RNA
Rfam family: Bacterial small subunit ribosomal RNA
Source: RNAcentral
AUGAACGCUGGCGGCGUGCCUCAUCCAUGCAAGUCGAGCGAACAGACGAGGAGCUUGCUCCUCUGACGUUAGCGGCGGACGGGUGAGUAACACGUGGAUAACCUACCUAUAAGACUGGGACAACUUCGGGAAACCGGAGCUAAUACCGGAUAAUAUAUUGAACCGCAUGGUUCAAUAGUGAAAGACGGUUUUGCUGUCACUUAUAGAUGGAUCCGCGCCGCAUUAGCUAGUUGGUAAGGUAACGGCUUACCAAGGCAACGAUGCGUAGCCGACCUGAGAGGGUGAUCGGCCACACUGGAACUGAGACACGGUCCAGACUCCUACGGGAGGCAGCAGUAGGGAAUCUUCCGCAAUGGGCGAAAGCCUGACGGAGCAACGCCGCGUGAGUGAUGAAGGUCUUCGGAUCGUAAAACUCUGUUAUUAGGGAAGAACAAAUGUGUAAGUAACUAUGCACGUCUUGACGGUACCUAAUCAGAAAGCCACGGCUAACUACGUG